UGACGGUAGUGGUUGAAUAAGCGCCGGCUAACUACGUGCCAGCAGCCGCGGUAAGACGUAUGGCGCGAGCGUUGUCCGGAUUUAUUGGGCGUAAAGGGCUCGUAGGCGGUUGAUUGCGUCCGCCGUGAAAGGCCUCGGCUUAACCGGGGUUUUGCGGUCGAUACGGGUCGACUUGAGGCAGUUAGGGGAGAUCGGAAUUCUACNUGUAGCGGUGAAAUGCGCAAAUAUGUGGAGGAACACCGGUGGCCAAGGCGGAUCUCUGGGAUUGUUCUGACGCUGAGGAGCGAAAGCGUGGGGAGCGAACAGGAUUAGAUACCCUGGUAGUCCAUGCUGUAAACGGUGGGCGCUAGGUGUGGGGUCACGUUGGUUGAUUCUGUGCCGUAGCUAACGCAUUAAGCGCCCCGCCUGGGGAGUACGGCCGCAAGGCUAAAACUCAAAGGAAUUGACGG
This 449-nucleotide ribosomal RNA is filed under the name uncultured bacterium. Its description in RNAcentral is "bacterial SSU rRNA". It matches the Rfam family "Bacterial small subunit ribosomal RNA", at positions 470 to 916 of the family's 1533-position model. The record is from RNAcentral.